This 118-nucleotide unclassified non-coding RNA is filed under the name uncultured fungus. RNAcentral describes it as "sequence contains ITS1". The record is from RNAcentral. Lineage: Eukaryota; Fungi.
AAUCAGCACGAGGGCGGUAUAUCAUGAGCAACCACAAACCAGCACAUCUACCGCCAAAUAAAGUGAAUGAGCAACCGGUGCGUAUACCAAGGGGCGGUCACUGAUAUGGAGGCGAAAC